AAGUCAGCAGCAUCUUGAACUGUUACAAUAUUCUCAGAGUUCUCUUCUUCUACUGCAAUCCCAAACUCUUCUUCUAGGGCCAUCACAAUUUCUACAGUGUCCAGAGAGUCGGCUCCGAGGUCCUUAGUGAAAGUACUUUCAGGGCUGACCUUAGUGUCUGCUGGUAAAGCUAGUUGUUUUCUCACUAUGCUUAUUACCUUAUCAA
RNAcentral lists this unclassified non-coding RNA (205 nucleotides) under Hevea brasiliensis (rubber tree). The record is from RNAcentral. Lineage: Eukaryota; Viridiplantae; Streptophyta; Magnoliopsida; Malpighiales; Euphorbiaceae.